This 1043-nucleotide ribosomal RNA is filed under the name Salmonella enterica subsp. enterica. RNAcentral describes it as "partial 23S ribosomal RNA". It matches the Rfam family "Bacterial large subunit ribosomal RNA", at positions 711 to 1667 of the family's 2925-position model. Lineage: Bacteria; Pseudomonadati; Pseudomonadota; Gammaproteobacteria; Enterobacterales; Enterobacteriaceae. The record is from RNAcentral.
AGACCCGAAACCCGGUGAUCUAGCCAUGGGCAGGUUGAAGGUUGGGUAACACUAACUGGAGGACCGAACCGACUAAUGUUGAAAAAUUAGCGGAUGACCUGUGGCUGGGGGUGAAAGGCCAAUCAAACCGGGAGAUAGCUGGUUCUCCCCGAAAGCUAUUUAGGUAGCGCCUCGUGAACUCAUCUCCGGGGGUAGAGCACUGUUUCGGCUAGGGGGCCAUCCCGGCUUACCAACCCGAUGCAAACUGCGAAUACCGGAGAAUGUUAUCACGGGAGACACACGGCGGGUGCUAACGUCCGUCGUGAAGAGGGAAACAACCCAGACCGCCAGCUAAGGUCCCAAAGUCAUGGUUAAGUGGGAAACGAUGUGGGAAGGCCCAGACAGCCAGGAUGUUGGCUUAGAAGCAGCCAUCAUUUAAAGAAAGCGUAAUAGCUCACUGGUCGAGUCGGCCUGCGCGGAAGAUGUAACGGGGCUAAACCAUGCACCGAAGCUGCGGCAGCGAACGUAUCACCCAAGACAACUUUGCGGAGUUGACGAUUGACGGAGCGAAGCGACGUCAAAGCGUUCAUUAAAGUCGAGUUGGCUUAGGGAUACGUUCGUUGGGUAGGGGAGCGUUCUGUAAGCCAGUGAAGGUGUGUCGUGAGGCAUGCUGGAGGUAUCAGAAGUGCGAAUGCUGACAUAAGUAACGAUAAAGCGGGUGAAAAGCCCGCUCGCCGGAAGACCAAGGGUUCCUGUCCAACGUUAAUCGGGGCAGGGUGAGUCGACCCCUAAGGCGAGGCCGAAAGGCGUAGUCGAUGGGAAACGGGUUAAUAUUCCCGUACUUGGUGUUACUGCGAAGGGGGGACGGAGAAGGCUAUGUUGGCCGGGCGACGGUUGUCCCGGUUUAAGCGUGUAGGUGUGUGUUCCAGGUAAAUCCGGUUCACUUUAACACUGAGGCGUGAUGACGAGGCACUACGGUGCUGAAGUAACAAAUGCCCUGCUUCCAGGAAAAGCCUCUAAGCAUCAGGUAACAUCAAAUCGUACCCCAAACCGACACAGGUGGU